GGAGAGGUGCGAGAGUGGUUUAAUCGGUCGGUCUCGAAAACCGAUGUAGUCGCAAGACUACCGUGGGUUCGAAUCCCACCCUCUCCGCCC
This 90-nucleotide transfer RNA is filed under the name Candidatus Thermochlorobacter aerophilus. Its description in RNAcentral is "Candidatus Thermochlorobacter aerophilum tRNA-Ser". It matches the Rfam family "tRNA". From Rfam's summary of the family: Transfer RNA (tRNA) molecules are approximately 80 nucleotides in length. Their secondary structure includes four short double-helical elements and three loops (D, anti-codon, and T loops). Further hydrogen bonds mediate the characteristic L-shaped molecular structure. tRNAs have two regions of fundamental functional importance: the anti-codon, which is responsible for specific mRNA codon recognition, and the 3' end, to which the tRNAs corresponding amino acid is attached (by aminoacyl-tRNA synthetases). tRNAs cope with the degeneracy of the genetic code in two manners: having more than one tRNA (with a specific anti-codon) for a particular amino acid; and 'wobble' base-pairing, i.e. permitting non-standard base-pairing at the 3rd anti-codon position. The record is from RNAcentral. Lineage: Bacteria; Pseudomonadati; Chlorobiota; Chlorobiia; Chlorobiales; Candidatus Thermochlorobacteriaceae.